Molecule: transfer RNA, 69 nt
Filed under: Camelus bactrianus (Bactrian camel)
Lineage: Eukaryota; Metazoa; Chordata; Mammalia; Artiodactyla; Camelidae
Also listed under: 2 other names
Rfam family: tRNA
About the family: Transfer RNA (tRNA) molecules are approximately 80 nucleotides in length. Their secondary structure includes four short double-helical elements and three loops (D, anti-codon, and T loops).
Source: Rfam by way of RNAcentral
GAGUAUGUAGCUCAGUGGUAGAGUGCAUGCUUCUGCAUAAGGUCCUGGGUUCAAUCCCCAGUACCUCCG